Molecule: ribosomal RNA, 275 nt
Filed under: uncultured prokaryote
Description: partial 16S ribosomal RNA
Rfam family: Bacterial small subunit ribosomal RNA
Source: RNAcentral
UACGUAGGGGGCAAGCGUUGUCCGGAAUUACUGGGCGUAAAGCGCGCGUAGGCGGAUUAUUAAGUCAGAUGUGAAAACUCUGGGCUCAACCCGGAGAUUGCAUCUGAAACUGGUAGUCUUGAGUGUAGAAGAGGAGAGUGGAAUUCCUAGUGUAGCGGUGAAAUGCGUAGAUAUUAGGAGGAACACCAGUGGCGAAGGCGGCCUUCUGGACAGUAACUGACACUGAGGUACGAAAGCGUGGGUAGCAAACAGGAUUAGAUACCCGGGUAGUCCCU